Camelus ferus (Wild Bactrian camel) is the source of this 72-nucleotide transfer RNA. It matches the Rfam family "tRNA". Rfam says of the family: Transfer RNA (tRNA) molecules are approximately 80 nucleotides in length. The record is from Rfam. NCBI's taxonomy places the organism in Eukaryota, Metazoa, Chordata, Mammalia, Artiodactyla, Camelidae.
GAGGGCAUAGCUCAGUGGUAAAGCAUGUGCUUAGCAUGCAUGAGGUCCUGGGUUCAACCGCCAGUACCGCCA